GACACAGAGUGGUGACAAAGCAGAGAAAGGAAAGAUAUCUGGGCAUUCACCUGCUGAAUCCUUCUCUGUUUGGGCCUCCAAGUCUAGAGACAUGGACCAAGACGCUUCCUCUCCAGGCACAUUUGUGGUUGUUGAGGACCCUGAGACCUGGAGAGGAGAAGUGAAUCCUGC
Molecule: long non-coding RNA, 171 nt
Organism: Lemur catta (Ring-tailed lemur)
Lineage: Eukaryota; Metazoa; Chordata; Mammalia; Primates; Lemuridae
Exons: 3
Source: RefSeq, a predicted model, not a curated record